Non-coding RNA from Podarcis muralis (Common wall lizard), 370 nucleotides. Lineage: Eukaryota; Metazoa; Chordata; Lepidosauria; Squamata; Lacertidae. The record is from RefSeq and is a predicted model, not a curated record.
CCAUUGAGGAGCAGCGAGGCCAUUAAUGGAGUAGGGAAGGCAAAAGUCACAGCCCGGGCGAAACACUCGGGGCCCCACAGCCCAUGUAAGCAGUCCACUGGUCGGCUGAAAGACUACACAGCUUUGAAUACAGCUUUGAACAGAGCCUCAGAGCACAUGGCACACGUCCAGCGACGCAUUAGCAACAUUGCAGAGAGCUUGAACCACCACCCAACACAAGUAAAUCUUCAUGGCAUCACACAAUAGUUAGCAGCGUGACCUCGUUGUGACACAAAAUGCAAAGUUCAAACCAGACAUGUUAGGAUGUUGCCUCCAUCUGUUUGUGAGUCUCUUGAGAGACACAUGAAUAAAUAAAUGUAACUGCAAAUUA